RNAcentral lists this ribosomal RNA (460 nucleotides) under uncultured bacterium. Its description in RNAcentral is "partial 16S ribosomal RNA". It matches the Rfam family "Bacterial small subunit ribosomal RNA", at positions 338 to 795 of the family's 1533-position model. The record is from RNAcentral.
CCUACGGGAGGCUGCAGUGAGGAAUAUUGGUCAAUGGGCUUACGCCUGAACCAGCCAAGUCGCGUGAGGGAAGACUGCCCUAUGGGUUGUAAACCUCUUUUGUCAGGGAGCAACGCCGGCUACGUGUAGCCGGACUGAGAGUACCUGAAGAAAAAGCAUCGGCUAACUCCGUGCCAGCAGCCGCGGUAAUACGGAGGAUGCGAGCGUUAUCCGGAUUUAUUGGGUUUAAAGGGUGCGUAGGCGGAAUGCCAAGUCAGCGGUAAAAUCGCGGGGCUCAACCUCGCUCCGCCGUUGAAACUGGCGUUCUUGAGUGAGCGAGAAGUAUGCGGAAUGCGUGGUGUAGCGGUGAAAUGCAUAGAUAUCACGCAGAACUCCGAUUGCGAAGGCAGCAUACCGGCGCUCAACUGACGCUGAGGCACGAAAGCGUGGGGAUCGAACAGGAUUAGAUACCCUAGUAGUC